AUAUAUAUAUAUAUAUAUAGAUUUUGAGAAAUGUUUCAAAUUGUAUACCUAAUCAGCAUCUUCGUGCCUCGUUAUAGGAUAGGUGAAAUCUCAAAGCGUUUUAUACAAUAUGUACAUCAAGAUUUUCUUUGGCUAAAUGUUGCAAUACCUUGGCGAGUCAUCGCAGAUGUGACAUAACGACGUUUGAUGAUCUUGUGAAAAAAAGCUAGUAAAACUUUAGUAAAGGUAUAAAUUCAACCUAAUUAUAUAGCUGAAUACACCGUGCAUCGUAUACUUGUCGUCAUAAUGCAUCGAGGCAACGAGUGCUCUAGCCAUAAAAGUCUGUCUUUAGGAGGUAAGAUAAAACGAAGGAGAAAUAUAAACGAGAGAGAGAGAGAGAGAGAGAGAGAGAGAAAAGGGAAAGAGAGGAGAGGAGGAAAAGCAGCAGCAUGGAGCAUUAAAAACGUCGUCCCGGUGGAGAGCCAUAAAAAUGAAAUCGCACGGUACAAUGACGAACGCUUCCAAGAAUACAGGAACGUGGCAUCAAAGGCGCGGGAUAGCGUCUUCUAAAGGCAAAAGAUCGCGGUUUAGGAUCAAGGAAACGGCGAGGAAUCGAGGAAAUGAGGAGUCGAAGCAACGGAACUCGGCAUUCACCGAGUGCCAAUUCUUGCAGAAACUAAGGGAUAUUCUACGGUUCGUCCACGUUCGUUCGAUCAACAUUUUCGUUUGUGUGCUCUUCAAGGAGGAAGUCGUGGACAAAUUAAAAAAGGGGCUGCGAAAUUCGCAUUCUUCUCCAAAUGCGAAUUUUUUCGAGAACCAAACGG
Molecule: long non-coding RNA, 803 nt
Organism: Bombus impatiens (common eastern bumble bee)
Lineage: Eukaryota; Metazoa; Arthropoda; Insecta; Hymenoptera; Apidae
Exons: 2
Source: RefSeq, a predicted model, not a curated record